GAUGAACGCUGGCGGCGUGCCUAAUACAUGCAAGUCGAGCGAACGGACGAGAAGCUUGCUUCUCUGAUGUUAGCGGCGGACGGGUGAGUAACACGUGGAUAACCUACCUAUAAGACUGGGAUAACUUCGGGAAACCGUAGCUAAUACCGGAUAAUAUUUUGAACCGCAUGGUUCAAAAGUGAAAGACGGUCUUGCUGUCACUUAUAGAUGGAUCCACGCUGCAUUAGCUAGUUGGUAAGGUAACGGCUUACCAAGGCAACGAUGCAUAGCCGACCUGAGAGGGUGAUCGGCCACACUGGAACUGAGGCACGGUCCAGACUCCUACGGGAGGCAGCAGUAGGGAAUCUUCCGCAAUGGGCGAAAGCCUGACGGAGCAACGCCGCGUGAGUGAUGAAGGUCUUCGGAUCGUAAAACUCUGUUAUUAGGGAAGAACAUAUGUGUAAGUAACUGUGCACAUCUUGACGGUACCUAAUCAGAAAGCCACGGCUAACUACGUG
This 497-nucleotide ribosomal RNA is filed under the name uncultured bacterium. RNAcentral describes it as "partial 16S ribosomal RNA". It matches the Rfam family "Bacterial small subunit ribosomal RNA", at positions 28 to 507 of the family's 1533-position model. The record is from RNAcentral.